This 589-nucleotide ribosomal RNA is filed under the name uncultured Glomus. Its description in RNAcentral is "SSU rRNA". It matches the Rfam family "Eukaryotic small subunit ribosomal RNA", at positions 624 to 1213 of the family's 1831-position model. The record is from RNAcentral. Lineage: Eukaryota; Fungi; Glomeromycota; Glomeromycetes; Glomerales; Glomeraceae.
AAGCUCGUAGUUGAAUUUCCGGUAUCAAUGGAUUGGUCAUGCCGAUGGUGUGUACUGGUCAUAUUGGUUCUCACCUUCUAAGGAACCAUAAUGUCAUUUAUUUGGUGUUGUGGGAAAUUAGGACUGUUACCUUGAAAAAAUUAGAGUGUUUAAAGCAGGCUAACGCUUGAAUACAUUAGCAUGGAAUAAUGAAAUAGGACAUCCGAUUCUAUUUUGUUGGUUUCUAGGAUCGAUGUAAUGAUUAAUAGGGAUAGUUGGGGGCAUUAGUAUUCAAUUGUCAGAGGUGAAAUUCUUGGAUUUAUUGAAGACUAACUACUGCGAAAGCAUUUGCCAAGGAUGUUUUCAUUAAUCAAGAACGAAAGUUAGGGGAUCGAAGACGAUCAGAUACCGUCGUAGUCUUAACCAUAAACUAUGCCGACUAGGGAUCGGAUGAUGUUAAUUUUUUAAUGACUCAUUCGGCGCCUUACGGGAAACCAAAGUGUUUGGGUUCCGGGGGGAGUAUGGUCGCAAGGCUGAAACUCAGAGGAAUUGACGGAAGGGCACCACCAGGGGUGGAGCCUGCGGCUUAAUUUGACUCAACACGGGGAAA